Molecule: ribosomal RNA, 199 nt
Filed under: Flavobacteriales bacterium
Lineage: Bacteria; Pseudomonadati; Bacteroidota; Flavobacteriia; Flavobacteriales
Description: partial 16S ribosomal RNA
Rfam family: Bacterial small subunit ribosomal RNA
Source: RNAcentral
UUAUACAAUGAAGAGUUUGAUCCUGGCUCAGGAUGAACGCUAGCGGCAGGCUUAACACAUGCAAGUCGAACGGUAACAUUGGUGCUUGCACCAGAUGACGAGUGGCGCACGGGUGCGUAACGCGUAUGCAAUCUACCUUUUACUGAAGAAUAGCCCAGAGAAAUUUGGAAUAAUCCUUCAUAAUAUCAUUUAUCAGCAU